Lytechinus variegatus (green sea urchin) is the source of this 398-nucleotide long non-coding RNA. RefSeq lists it as uncharacterized. The record is from RefSeq and is a predicted model, not a curated record. NCBI's taxonomy places the organism in Eukaryota, Metazoa, Echinodermata, Echinoidea, Temnopleuroida, Toxopneustidae. The transcript has 4 exons.
AGUGUUUCUGUUGCCAAGACGGCAAAGAGUGUGCCUGCGGGGGUGGAGAGUGCUGCAUCACAGGAAAGUGCUGUCAGGAAGGAGAUGGAACUUGCUGUGGAAAAUGUUCAAAUGCUGCAUGCAAGUGUGCCGAUGGCUGCAAAUGUGAAGGCGCCUGUGCCUGUACUAUGGGAAACUGCACGUGCUAGAUCAUCAAGACCAUUUCCAGAUUGUCAUCUCUUCUGCAAACUUCCAAGCGGAUUUCAUUAAUGUUUAUUUGUGUAUACUUUUUGUAACAUAAUGUAUAUUUAUUAUCUUACUCAUUUUGAAAUUAUUCUUUCAAGAUUUUCUUUUACUACUUCGAAAUUAUAUUAUUUGAACAUUGACAAUAUUUGCUAUAAAAUAUGCUAUAAUUAAAA